Molecule: ribosomal RNA, 330 nt
Filed under: uncultured bacterium
Lineage: Bacteria
Description: bacterial SSU rRNA
Rfam family: Bacterial small subunit ribosomal RNA
Source: RNAcentral
CACGCAGGCGGAUUGAUAAGUCAGGGGUGAAAUCCCGGGGCUCAACCUCGGAAUUGCCUUUGAUACUGUCUAUCUUGAGUUCGGGAGAGGUUGGCGGAAUUCCUAGUGUAGAGGUGAAAUUCGUAGAUAUUAGGAAGAACACCAGUGGCGAAGGCGGCCAACUGGCCCGAUACUGACGCUCAUGUGCGAAAGCGUGGGGAGCAAACAGGAUUAGAUACCCUGGUAGUCCACGCCGUAAACUAUGGAUGCUAGCCGUUGGAGAGCUUGCUCUUCAGUGGCGCAGCUAACGUCUUAAGCAUCCCGCCUGGGGAGUACGGUCGCAAGAUUAAA